UACGUAGGGUGCAAGCGUUGUCCGGAAUUAUUGAGCGUAAAGAGCUCGUAGGCGGUUUGUCGCGUCUGCUGUGAAAACUCGGGGCUUAACUCCGGGCCUGCAGUGGGUACGGGCAGACUAGAGUGCGGUAGGGGAGACUGGAAUUCCUGGUGUAGCGGUGAAAUGCGCAGAUAUCAGGAGGAACACCGGUGGCGAAGGCGGGUCUCUGGGCCGUAACUGACGCUGAGGAGCGAAAGCGUGGGGAGCGAACAGG
RNAcentral lists this ribosomal RNA (253 nucleotides) under uncultured bacterium. RNAcentral describes it as "partial 16S ribosomal RNA". It matches the Rfam family "Bacterial small subunit ribosomal RNA", at positions 524 to 776 of the family's 1533-position model. The record is from RNAcentral.